CAAAAUUAAAAAUAAUGGUCGGUGUAUGCAAGGAAAGCAGGAAGGUCCAAUCCUUGGCUGACGUUGGGCCGGCUCUGACUGAGGUGAGAGUGAGAUGGGAUAUUACACAAGACAGGGAACCUUUGGUUGGACGUUGCGUGCCUAUGAACAGCAUCAGAAACUGUAUAGUCCGUCAGACCAGAGACGCAGGCCUCAAUCUCUGUGGUGCUUAGUUGUGACUGCAAGAAGAGAUGCAAUCUACUGUCGGAAAGGAGGAUGUUGCUCUGCAAUACUCUGCAAAACAAAAAGGAUCAUGUCAAGCACUUUCUUUAAAAAUGUAUACAUUGGACAAUGAAUAGGCUAUUAUGUGAUUAAAUACGGAAUAUGAUGGGGGAAGAAUAAAGCAAGAGCAGCUGAUAUAUUUCAGUGAA
Amblyraja radiata (thorny skate) is the source of this 410-nucleotide long non-coding RNA. RefSeq lists it as uncharacterized. The record is from RefSeq and is a predicted model, not a curated record. NCBI's taxonomy places the organism in Eukaryota, Metazoa, Chordata, Chondrichthyes, Rajiformes, Rajidae. The transcript has 2 exons.